This 46-nucleotide ribosomal RNA is filed under the name Penicillium glabrum. RNAcentral's name for it is "partial 28S ribosomal RNA". Lineage: Eukaryota; Fungi; Ascomycota; Eurotiomycetes; Eurotiales; Aspergillaceae. The record is from RNAcentral.
CCGACAACCAAUCAUCCUUUUUUCAGGUGACCUCGGAUCAUGUAGG